This is a long non-coding RNA of Panonychus citri (citrus red mite), 6714 nucleotides long. RefSeq lists it as uncharacterized. The transcript has 4 exons. The record is from RefSeq and is a predicted model, not a curated record. NCBI's taxonomy places the organism in Eukaryota, Metazoa, Arthropoda, Arachnida, Trombidiformes, Tetranychidae.
AGCAUAACCGUUGAUUAGAAAAGGAAUCAAAUUAAAUUUUCUUUGUGCUUUGAUUGUUCGCAUUUUCUUUUAAUUUUAAUCACCAAUUAAUCUUAAUUUCUCUCUAAUUGUUGGACCAAUUUGUGAGUAUUGACACUUUCAAAAUCUCUCACUGGUUGUAAAGGAAUUAAAAAGCUUAGGCCUAACCUUUUUCCGGUUAAAUUUGUUCAUUAGUGGAACACAUCAAAUUAUUAAAUUGACGAAGUGUUGUCAGUCCAAUUAACAAUUUGAUUUAUACCCGUUUUAAUUAAUCAAAGAAAAGGAGAAAAGGUUGAGACUUGGAACCAAAGGUAAUUAAAUGAUAUAUUUAAAGAGAGAGGAGGAAGUGAUAAAGGAGAACCAAGUGAAACCAAAGAUACGACAAGUCAAACAUUAAUUAAUUAACUACACAAUCAAAUUUAAAGUGAAAUUUUAUUCCAACAUAUAUAUUUAUCUGUAUAUAUAUUAGAUGUUUACUCUCUCAGGUAAGAUUGUGAUUAAGGAAAGGCCAUUAACUAACUCUAAAUGAGUUACAUUCAAAAAGUUAACCACACCCAAGUGUCACUUGGAUUCACAGUAAAUAAAUAUCAAGAAUUGGAAAGAAUUUGUUCUUGGUGUAACAAACGUAAAACAAGUGCCCUUGGAUCGUUGGAACUUUAAAGAAGGAGAAGGAAGAGAAGAUGAAACAAAUAAAGAAGCUUGAAUGUGACAGGAAACAAUUUUACUUGGGAGGAGCUCAUUUCAAAGAUUUUGUCAUAAUUAGAGUUACUCAUUAGUCUUUUGCAGACAAAAUGAAAAGGAGAAACAAUUAAAUGAAGAUAGAGAUGAUAGUAGGAAUCAACAUCAUCAUCAUCAUCAAAGCACAAGGCAGAUGGCUUAUGCACAAUUAACGGACAUUGAGAUGAUGAUGAUUAUUGAAAAACGAGAAAGAGAAGAUAAAUUAAUAGAAAGAGAAAAUGAUUAACAGGAGAGAGAGGUGAAGUUUACACACCAAACAUUCAAAUGAGUAUCUCUCAUCAACUUUCAUCCUCAUCCCUAGGAAAAAGGAGCUAGAAAAUAUCGUGAUUUGUUUUCUAUUCAUAUUAAUUUUUAUCUUCAUCUUAUCUUCUCACUCCCUCUUACCUUUUUCUCCUUCACCAUAUGUUUAAUUAUCUUAAAACAAUCAUCAUCAUUAAUAUCAUGUAACCUCCUUCCUCCACUUAUAUAUACCUGUAAUAAUCUCACUCACUCUCUCUCUCUCUCUCCAUCUAUCUUUCUCCCCUAAUCUCACUCACUCACUGAUGAUGCUUUUAAAUUUUAAAUGAUUUUCUGGUCUUACCUUUAAACAAGAUUGAAGUUGGUGCCAAUAUCGGCACCAAGGUAAGCACGAAAAACCCAUUGCCACUUGUAUCACAAAUCAUAUACAUUAAUUUGCUUUUAAUGUGAUGAUAAUCAACCAACAUCAACCCCUAAUAACACUUUAUCAUUUUCCUGUAUAAUAACGUUGAUAAGUAUAAUCAACGUUAUUAUUAAUAAUCAGAAAACAAACAACAACAAACCUGAUUUUUUGUUGUAACUAAAAAAAAAUAACUAACUAUUAAUGAUUAUCAUCAUCAUCAGAUAAUAAUCAUGCUAAUAAAUAGUAAUGAGCAACAAUAGAGUGAAAAUUACACUGAUGAAUAUAAAUAUACCUUUAAUCAGUUUAGAAUUACAUUAUAUCAUAGUAACAAUUAAUUUGGUAUAAUUAUUUUAUUUAUAAGAUUAAUUGAAAUCAUUCAUCUUAUUGAUUAUCUCUCACAACGAUUCAACUUACUAAUUGUAAACUUUUUUUUUCUUUUUCAGAUUUUGGCUCGAAAAUAUCUUUGAAUAUCCUCGAACUUGCAAUGUCCAAAUCUCUCUAGUAUUUAACCUCUUUGGGUCUUUUGGUUUCUCAGAUUUAAGCCUAACGAACAUGGUUCAAUAAAUGGUUAACUUGAUUGCUGGAAACAAAACUCAUUAAUCCUCACCUCCUAAAUGAUGAUGACAGUAAAUUGUCUAGAAUAAUUAAUUCAUCUAAUAUCUGUCUUACCUUUCCUUGUUUUAAUAUUUAACAUUUUUAUCUUAUUACACAGUAAUUAACUGAUUGAAAUAAUGAUUAACUAAUUGUUAAGUAGCAAGUAGAAAAGGAAAGACAAAAUAACAACAAAGAAUCAUCAUAUUAUUAUUAUAUAUAAAAAGGUUUGUAAGGUUAACAAAAAACUUGUCAAGUUACAAGAAAAUAAAUGAUGAUGAUUAUGAUUAAAGUUAAUUAUGACAGUCAAACAUUAUUAGUAUCCAAAAGCAAUCAAGAUAAUCAGUUUUCAAACAGUUCAUUUAUCACCCAGCAAAAGACAAUCAAACAUGUGAACCCAUUCAUAUAACUCAUAUUUUAAUCAUUUACAUUUACUAUUAACUUGGUAAACAAUCAACGAUAAACAAUUUACUGAUCAAUAUCAGUUAAUUUUGUCAACUGUAACCUCCACUUACCUCUAACAAUCAAAGUGCAAGUGAAUUGAAAAUUUAUUAUAUAAAAAGCAUUUCAAUUGUCACUAAAUGAUCUCAGUGAUACUAAUUGUCAUGAAAACUUUUCCUUGACAAUUAACACUGUCAUUGAAAAUUGAUUCUAAUUCUUAACAGGGACUAUUAUUAAUUACUUGUAAUAAUGAGACUAAAUCAUUUUAAAUUAACAGCAUGGUUAACAAUCAUAAUGAUCAUUAUUUAUCUUGAUUAACUUUUUUUUUUCUUGACUUAAGUUAAUCUUUGAUUAUCAUUAUUAAUGGACAAUCGUUAUGGUUGCUUAAUCAUUGUUAAAUAAUAUUCAUCAUUAACUGAUUGUCAUGAUUAACAUGAUGAUGAUGAUGAUGAUGAUGAUGAUGAGUGGGAGGUUUGAACUCCUCCUAACUAACUAAAUAUAUUGUUAACUAAUUGUAGUUUUUUUUACAAUCAGGUAACAAGAAAAAAAGUUUUAAUUGUUGUUUCAUUUUCAUCUUUCCUCUUUUUUUUUCUCGUUGAUUGUGAUCAACUUAAAUUGUUAAUGAUCAUGGUUACAUGGUGAUGAUUAUGAUUAUGAUGAGAUUGUGGUAGAUAAAUUGAAAAUAAUAAACUAAAUUGUUUCCAAUUUAAGGUGAAAGUUUUGUCACAAUUUGAAUUGUUCACAAUUAACGAGUUAAAUUAUCAAGUUUCAUUAAACGCUAAUCAUAAUCACUGGACAAAAUUGAACAAAGCAAAUUGUUUGUCAUUAGUUAAUUGUGAAGGUGACACUUUAUCGUAAUAAUUGUUAGUAAAAAUUAUUACGAUUGAUUGUUGUUUGUUGAUUGUUUCAAAUUUAUUGAUUAUAUCAGGAUUUACAAUCAACUGAUCUUAAUUAUAUAAUGAUAAUUAAUCAACUUGAUUGUGAUAAUUAUUGUAACAAUUGUACAAAGUUAUAAUACAGAUGACCAACACCCAGUAAGACUUAAUUGACAGGUUAAUUGUUGUUAUCAAUGUAACAAAUACACUUACAAUUAAAAUCUAAUCACAUAAAAUUAAGGUGUAAAUUGAUAUUAGUUAAUAUGAUUGAUAAUUGUUACAAUUAACUAUAAUCAAUUGACACAAGCCCAUUUUUCAUGUAAUAUUUGUUUAAUUGUGAAUUUUGUAAAUUUCAUUUAUCAUCAUGAAACAAUUUGAAUUUACAAUUAAAUUAGCAAUUAAAUAGAUGAUAAUUAUCAUGAUGAUAAUACAAACAAAUCAAAUUAAAUAAAAUGUAUAUAAUUGAGAGGAAAAUGAUUACAAUUACAAUCAAACAAUUUGAUUAUUUGUUUGAGAGGAAGAAAAGUUUCUCGGUGUAAUUAUUACAAUUUAUGGAUAAUUGAUAUUCAUAUGUAUUGUUAAAUUGUUAAGGUUCAAUUACUAUUUAAUCAUAAUCAGAGGAUGAAGUUAAUUGUUAAUCAUGAUAAGGAAAGAGACAAAAUCUGAUUAAUUGUUAUAUUAUUGUCUUGUGUGUGUGUGUGUCUGUAUAUGAAUGAGUUCAAGUGUAAAGGUUGGUUAAGGGUAAUGGUGUUAAACUUGUGGCUCAAGGAUUAAUAACUAAACAGGUAAGAUGAGGAUGAAAAUGAGGAUGAGGAUGAUAACUAAGAUGAUAAAGAGGAAAAAAUGAAACAAAAUUUAGUGUUUACUCAAGUAACUCUUUCUCUCCAUCUUCAUCAACAUUGUCAUCUUCAUCUUUCUUUCCUUUCUCUCUUUUGACAGGUAAGGAUGAUGAGAGGAAAGGAAGAGAGAGAGAGAGAGAGAGAGAGAGAUGAUAACUCACCUUCUCUCUCAGGUAAGGAAGCGAGCAAGGGUUAAGAUGAUGAGGAAGAUGAAGGAAAAUUUUUCUUGCCCAAAAUCAUUAUCAUUUUCAUGGUAGAGUGAUUUGAAAAUUUCCCUAAUUACAGGUUAAUUUGCAUAAGUUAUCAUUUAAAUAAUAAUAACAACAGGUAAUUACAAUUAAAAGACACAACGUAAGAGACAAAAAAUUUAGAUGAAUGAAAAAAAGUAUCAGAAGAAAAGUUUUUUUUUUCUCACCAUUAUCAUCCUUUAAAUGAUGAUUAUGAUUAAGUGGAGGAGGAAGAUGAUUAUAAUGAUCAUGUUGAUGAUGAGUGAUAAUUGAAAGUGUCACCUAAGGUUUAUCAUCAUUUUUUAUUACCUUUUACCUGAAAAAAUCAAUUUCCCAUAUGUAUUACCUGUUCAUUCAAGUCUAGUGAUAAUUAACAAUUAAAUCAUAAUCAUAAUCAUCCCUAAUGACGAUAAUAACACUCAAUAGUACCAAUUAACUGGUUUAACCAUCAAAAAAAAGGUUAAUUGUUCCUUGAUCAUUAUAAUUAUCUUAAUCAUUUGUUGUUACCUGAGAUUUAUAAUGAAUUUUAAUGAAUGAAUUUUUUUCCUCCAUUUUUUUGUUACUAUUAUUAAUGAUUACUAACCUUAAUUGUUGCUGUUAAAUUUGAUUGUUAACUUGAACUUCAUUUCCCAACAAAAAAACAAUUCUGAUAAUCAAUUCAACUAAUUGUCCGAUUUGAUUGUUGAGAUUUGUCAAUGUUAAUCCUCUGAAUGGUGAAAAUUGUUACUACCAAAUUGUAAACAAUUUAAUAUAUUAACAUUAAUAAACCAUCAACACAAUUUAGAUUCAUUAAAUAAUCUCAUUAAUUGUGAACAACAUAAUUACUGUAAAUCUGGUUUUCUAAUUUUUCCUAAUUUUUCACAUUAAUCAUCAUUUUUUUAUCUUUAAUCUUAAUCUUUCUGUUAAUCUUAAUCUUCUCACCUGAGAAAUUUUCUCUCAAACCAAUUAUCAUAUAAUCAUGAUCAUCUUAACAAUUAAUUUUCUGACUAAAUUAAAUCAGAGAAAACGAUAAUCAUGAAUCCAAAUGAACAAUAAUCACCUAAAGAUAUUAAAUUGUUUCAACGAUGAAAUGAAACCACAAAUCAAAUGAAUCUAUUGAUUGUUUUGUUGAAAUCGUGUAAAUAACAACAAAACAAUUAACAAUCAUCUGAAUCAAUUGAAUUAAGUUAAUCAUGUUUACGAAAUGAUGAAAAUAAAGAAAAUAAAGAAACAUGAAAAUUUGUUGAUUGUUACAAUUUGUAUACAAUAAAAGUUGUAACAAUCAACUGAUAUCAUUGAUAUUAUAAUAAUUGACUAUGAUUAUGAUUAAAAUUAACCUCUUAUUAUAAUCAACACUCAAUAUGUUGCAAGUAACAAUCAACUAAACACAAUUGGAACACCUUGAUUUCCUCUUACCUGUGGAAAAGGUAAAAAAAAAGUUAUGAAUGAAAAAAAAAAGGUAAACAUUUGAAUGGAGUAAAGUUGAGAUUUGUAUUGUAUUAAAAUGAGAGAAAGGAAGUUGAUCAUUUAUUUAAUUCUUUACACAAUUAACUAGUCUAUUCACAAUUAACGUUUUGACACUUUUCCUUUAUCAUUAUCAUCUUCAUCUUCAAUAUAAUCAUCAUCUUCUUCCCAUUGAUUGUAAUCAUUGACUGGAAAUCAAUUGAAAAGGUUACCAUAUAUUACAUAGUAUAAACAUAGAGGGAGGAGGUUGGAAGGUGGGUUUUUAUAAAUACACAGGGAGGGAUGAAGUUGUUUGGAUAUUUAUAUGUGUAUGUAUGUCUCUAGGUGUAACAAUAGAUGAUGAUGAUGAUGAAGAUGAUGAGGGAUGAUAAAUGAUGAUAAAAAUAAAGCCAACAAGUUAAGUGGAUUGUGGUUCAAUCUUUUAUGUGUAUUUGUCUAUGGUAACUUUUUACUCUUUGGACAAUAGGUGAUCGUUAAUAAUAAGUAAGUUAAAAUUGACAAUUUAAAUUGAUUGUCAUUCAUUUAUUGAUUGUGUGUGUGUGUGUGUAUGUUUAUUGUGAUCAACUGAUUGUUGACUUUGUAUAUUUAUAUUUAUCCUCUCUAUUCAGAUAUUUAACCUUUACUUUAUUGUGUUCAUUUGAUUGUGAUUAUAAAUUGUUGUAUUUCCUUUACGUUGAAUUGUUUUCAAUUAACCACAAUCACAAACUGUGACAAUUUGAUUAACUGUGUGUGUGUGUAUUUAUAUUUGUGUAUUUGAGGUUAACAAUCAAUUCUGAUUUUCUGUAGUUUAACAAAUGAUUAACAAACUAUUUUGUAUUAUCAUUAAAUCAUCACUUUUUUAAAAGUUUCACCGUUUUGAUUAAGUUAUCAUUUGAUUGUUGUUUUCUCCAGUAAAUUUAAUU